RNAcentral lists this non-coding RNA (253 nucleotides) under Brevibacillus borstelensis. Its description in RNAcentral is "T-box sequence". It matches the Rfam family "T-box leader". From Rfam's summary of the family: Uncharged tRNA acts as the effector for transcription antitermination of genes in the T-box leader family. T-boxes are found upstream of many aminoacyl-tRNA synthetase genes and some amino acid biosynthetic genes usually in Gram-positive bacteria. The record is from RNAcentral. Lineage: Bacteria; Bacillati; Bacillota; Bacilli; Caryophanales; Paenibacillaceae.
GUGAUUGCUGUGAACGGGAAGAGUAGACCAGGACGCCUUGGCAGAGAGGAGAAUCAGUAGCUGCGAGAUUCUCUAAGGAAGGGAUUGGUCGAAGGUCGCCCGGGAGUUGUUUCGGUGAAUGCACAUAUUUUGUGCUGUAGCCGCGACCGGCUAACAACCGUUAUCUUGUCAGAGUGAAUGCGGCACUUCGGCAAUGGAUGCGAAGGCUGCAUUAACAAAGGUGGUACCGCGAAACAAUCCUUUCGUCCUUUGG